Corvus hawaiiensis (hawaiian crow) is the source of this 1937-nucleotide long non-coding RNA. RefSeq lists it as uncharacterized. The record is from RefSeq and is a predicted model, not a curated record. The transcript is spliced from 2 exons. Lineage: Eukaryota; Metazoa; Chordata; Aves; Passeriformes; Corvidae.
UAUGUCCUCUUGUCCUGUCUCUGUUUGCCUAGGAGAAGAGACCGACCCUCACCUGGCUACAGCCUCCUUUCAGACAGGAGGAGAAUGUCCAGGUUUCAGCCUCCGCCAUGGCAGGUGCUCAGUGCAGCAUCUAAUGGAGAGAAACUGAAGUAAGAAUGGAAGCAGCUCCAUGGAAGAGAUGAAGAAGAGAGAGGAGAGUUUGAGUGUAAUGAACUGAAUCCAUAAAGAAUGGAAUACAAAAAGGACUGAAAAAAUGUACCAGGGAAAUUACUGAGGAUAGAGUGGGUAUUAAUGAAAUGGGGAAUAUCAUGGUCAAAUGAAUCAUCUGUGGAAAGCUUUAGUUGAGUAUUUAAAACUGGAUUAUUGGGGAGUAUUUUUGAUACUUAACUGGUAAACACCUGAGUCUCAGCUCAUGAGCCUCAGUUUCCAUCAACAGGGAGAAAUAAGCACUCCAAAGGUGAGAUUCGUCUGACCUAGUUAAGACACCUGUCUUAGGACAAGAUUAUUGUCUGUAUGAGUUCAGAUGCAGCUGUCUAAAUAUUAGGCCCCGGUAUUAUGACAGCCGAAUUCCCUUUUACUGUUAGGAGAUCAAAAGGAAAGAAGGUGAUGGACCAGUGAAGAGGCACAAGAGCUAAGGGGCAGCUGAAGUUAAAAAGCUAAGGGAAAGGAGAGGAUUGCACUUAUAGUUCAUCACUGCUCUGUAGUCCCUAGGGAAUCUGUACUCAGAGAGGUAAAUCACAGAUUUAUGCAUAAAGGACUUUGUACCAGGAGGGCUGUAUUUCUGUACUGCCUUUAUUGCAGCUCCUACUCAGACAUCAGGAAUGCUGUAUCAGUAGCUAUUGAUAGUAUGGAGAUAGAGCAGGAUUAGGAUUAGCAAAGGAAGGGGACAGGCUGGGGAUUAGUAAAUAGGCCAGAAUCAAAGUGUAAGGGUUCUGUACCCCAUAAAGGCUUCAGAGGGCCCUUAAGAUAACAGUGUGCCGUACCGCAAGUCCAGAACUUCUCCAGCCUGAACCAGUCUUGCUCUCUUUUGGUGUAUGUAUUUUUUUGCCUUUGCUCUGUACCAGGAUAGAUUGAGAAAGCAGCAAUGGUGCCAGGAGAAAGCAAAACUGAGGAAAGCAAAGGAGCUGGAGCACUGCUUGCCCCAGCUAUCAAAUUGUUGUAGGAAUAGAACAGUAGCUCACAGGAUUUGAGCAACCAUGUGAUUUUAGAAGGCUCCAUGAGAAAACACAAAAAUUCCUUUCCUUCCCUCUCACUGAGCCUGGUUCUUGCUUAUACUUUUAGUUAUUCCUUUCUCAAAAAAAAAAAAAAAAAAAAAAAAAGGAAGUGUAGUCUUCUAGCUAGAUUUAUUUACUUUUGUUCUAAAGGAGACAUUGUUUGGCAAUUUUAUUUUUCAACAGGAAAUGGUAAAUGUGCUGAUUUGUUUAAUGAGGUUGAGAUUCCCUGUAGGAGUCCAAAUUCCUUUUUUGUUUUACUCUCUGUAGAACUGAAUGUCUUAUGUAGAUAAAAUCUCAGUAAAGAUAAACCAUUCAAGCAGAUGUGAGUAAAGAGCUGAGAAUUUCUGGGCUACUGUAGACAAAGAUGCCUCACGGAGUCAGUGGUACUUCAUGCUGCUUAACAGUGGUGUGGGGCCUUAAUUUUUGAUCUUGUGCACAUACUGGAAGAAACAGUAGGAAGAGAAGUUUGGAUUUUGAAGUAAAACAAAGUAAUUUUAUUUUUGAAUAUUGGGCCUCUGAAUGAUAGGCAGCAUAAGCACUUGAGCACACUUUCUUCUGACCUCAAUAAAAGUCCUGAAUACUAAAUAUUUGUGAAAAUUAGGGCAGUAUCCAAAUGUUCAUGUAAGAACAUUUCUUCUGUUAUCUACUUUUGAAACAGUUGCCAUGUUGUGUAUUGAUAAAAUCACAUUGAUCUAUUAAAAGAGAUUUCUCUUGUUUGUGGGA